This 1334-nucleotide ribosomal RNA is filed under the name epibiont metagenome. RNAcentral's name for it is "bacterial LSU rRNA". It matches the Rfam family "Bacterial large subunit ribosomal RNA", at positions 1624 to 2925 of the family's 2925-position model. The record is from RNAcentral.
AUACAUUCACUUUGGUGUUCGUACCGCAAACCGACACAGGUAGGCGGGGAGAGCAUCCCAAGGCGCUUGAGAGAACUCUGGUUAAGGAACUCGGCAAAUUGGCACCGUAACUUCGGGAGAAGGUGUGCCGCUGCUGGUGAGGCGCCUCGCGCGCGGAGCUGGCGGCGGUUGCAGUGACCUGGGGGGAGCGACUGUUUACUAAAAACACAGGACUCUGCGAAGUCGCAAGACGAAGUAUAGGGUCUGACGCCUGCCCGGUGCCGGAAGGUUAAGGGGACGCGUUAGCCGUAAGGCGAAGCGCAGAACCGAAGCCCCGGUAAACGGCGGCCGAACUAUAACGGCCUAAGGUAGCGAAAUUCCUUGUCGGGUAAGUUCCGACCUGCACGAAUGGCGUAACGAUUUCCCCACUGUCUCAACCAGAGUCUCAGCGAAACUGUAGUACCGGUGAAGAUGCCGGUUACCCGCAACAAGACAGAAAGACCCCGUGAACCUUUACUACAGCUUGGCAUUGUAUUUUGGGUUAGCAUGUGUAGGAUAGGUGGGAGACGAGGAAGCCGUGACGCCAGUCACGGUGGAGUCGCCCUUGAAAUACCACCCUUGCUAACCUAGGGUACUAACCGCGUUCCCUGAACGGGAACCGGGACAUUGUCAGGUGGGUAGUUUGACUGGGGCGGUCGCCUCCCAAAGAGUAACGGAGGCGCGCGAAGGUUCCCUCAGGCUGAUUGGAAACCAGCCGUAGAGUGUAAAGGCAUAAGGGAGCUUGACUGCGAGAGAGACAUCUCGAGCAGGUAGGAAACUAGGUCUUAGUGAUCCGGCGGCGCUGUAUGGAAGGGCCGUCGCUCAACGGAUAAAAGGUACUCCGGGGAUAACAGGCUUAUCUCCCCCAAGAGUCCACAUCGACGGGGAGGUUUGGCACCUCGAUGUCGGCUCAUCACAUCCUGGGGCUGGAGCAGGUCCCAAGGGUUCGGCUGUUCGCCGAUUAAAGUGGUACGUGAGCUGGGUUUAAAACGUCGUGAGACAGUUUGGUCCUUAUCUGUUGCGGGCGUAGGAUAUUUGAGGAGAGCUGUUCCUAGUACGAGAGGACCGGAAUGGACGAACCAAUGGUGUACCGGUUGUCGCGCCAGCGGCUAUAGCCGGGUAGCUACGUUCGGGCCGGGGAUAACCCGUUGGAAAGGCUUCUAAAGGCGGGGAAGCCCAAUUUCCAAGGAUACGGAUAUCCGGUUAACGGCAAGUUCCCAGAAGGGCUCCGUGGUAGACUUAACAAGGUUAGAAUAGGGUCCGGAUGUUGGAAGCCGUGCAAACCACCGGUUGGAAGCUGACCGGGAUUACGCUUA